AGCUGCCACAAGUGCUGCAUGGCUGUCGUCAGCUCGUGCCGUCGAGGUGUUGGGUUAAGUCCCGCAACGAGCGCAACCCUCAUUGCCAGUUGAUUUCUCUGGCGAGACUGCCCGCAAAACGGGGAGGAAGGUGGGGAUGACGUCAAGUCAGCAUGGCCCUUAUGCCCUGGGCUACACACACGCUACAAUGGACGGGUACAAUUGGUUGCAAUAGCGCGAGCUGGAGCUAAUCCGAAAAGCCGUUCUCAGUUCGGAUUGCAGGCUGAAACCCGCCUGCAUGAAGUUGGAGUUGCUAGUAAUCGCAGGUCAGUAUACUGCGGUGAAUACGUUCUCGGGGCUU
This 340-nucleotide ribosomal RNA is filed under the name uncultured Chloroflexota bacterium. RNAcentral describes it as "bacterial SSU rRNA". It matches the Rfam family "Bacterial small subunit ribosomal RNA", at positions 1027 to 1382 of the family's 1533-position model. Lineage: Bacteria; Bacillati; Chloroflexota. The record is from RNAcentral.